UCAAAAGCUCAACAGCUCAACAGCUGGGGGUGACGUGUAGCUGGCUAUACAGCUGGAGCUGUUGGUACCUUUAUUUCUAAUCCAGCUGACAAUAUUGUUACAUCUCUUUAUAACAAAAAGGCUGAUAAUGUGGUGCAGGCUGUGAAGAAUAUUGGGCUUGUGAAUUUGUUUACAAGAAGUUUACCUAUCAGGAUCACAUUUGUGGGACCAGUUGUAACUUUGAGAUGGUUAUUCUAUGACACCAUUAAAGUAUUAACCAGACUGUAAGUUCAUCUCUCUUUCUUGUUUUAAUGAAAUAUCUCAUAGCCUCAUUCGUUA
This is a long non-coding RNA of Telopea speciosissima, 318 nucleotides long. RefSeq lists it as uncharacterized. The record is from RefSeq and is a predicted model, not a curated record. NCBI's taxonomy places the organism in Eukaryota, Viridiplantae, Streptophyta, Magnoliopsida, Proteales, Proteaceae. The transcript is spliced from 2 exons.